Molecule: ribosomal RNA, 282 nt
Filed under: uncultured prokaryote
Description: partial 16S ribosomal RNA
Rfam family: Bacterial small subunit ribosomal RNA
Source: RNAcentral
UACGUAGGGGGCGAGCGUUACCCGGAAUCACUGGGCGUAAAGGGAGCGUAGGUGGCCUGACAUGUCGACUGUGAAAACCCGGAGCUCAACUCCGGACUUGCAGUUGAAACUGCCAGGCUUGAGGACGGUAGAGGAAGACGGAACUGCCAGUGUAGGGGUAAAAUGCGUAGAUAUCGGGAGGAACACCGGUGGCGAAGGCGGCUUUCUGGCCAGUUACUGACGCUCAUGCGCGAAAGCUGGGGUAGCGAACCGGAUUAGAUACCCCGGUAGUCCCUGAGCGGG